Molecule: long non-coding RNA, 170 nt
Organism: Salvelinus sp. IW2-2015
Lineage: Eukaryota; Metazoa; Chordata; Actinopteri; Salmoniformes; Salmonidae
Source: RefSeq, a predicted model, not a curated record
UUUUCAGGUGAUGAAGCUGUGAGUGAAUACAGCUCCCCGUGUGCAGAGUGACAGCCAAUCAAGCUGACUGGACUUGGGCUCAACCAAUUGCUUUCCUAUUUAGGAAGAGCUCCUAGAAUGGAGGGGUUCUAUUUGGUGCUUACACAUUGUCCAACUUGUAAUCCGUUUAA